CAGCAGCCGCGGGAAUACGUAGGUGGCAAGCGUUGUCCGGAAUUAUUGGGCGUAAAGCGAGCGCAGGCAGUUAGAUAAGUCUGAAGUUAAAGGCUGUGGCUUAACCAUAAUACGCUUUGGAAACUGUUUAACUUGAGUGCAAGAGGGGAGAGUGGAAUUCCAUGUGUAGCGGUGAAAUGCGUAGAUAUAUGGAGGAACACCGGUGGCGAAAGCGGCUCUCUGGCUUGUAACUGACGCUGAGGCUCGAAAGCGUGGGGAGCAAACAGGAUUAGAUACCCCAGUAGUCCCUGUCUCUUAUACA
RNAcentral lists this ribosomal RNA (301 nucleotides) under uncultured bacterium. RNAcentral describes it as "partial 16S ribosomal RNA". It matches the Rfam family "Bacterial small subunit ribosomal RNA", at positions 509 to 808 of the family's 1533-position model. The record is from RNAcentral.